This 89-nucleotide non-coding RNA is filed under the name Massilibacterium senegalense. RNAcentral describes it as "pan motif". It matches the Rfam family "pan motif". Lineage: Bacteria; Bacillati; Bacillota; Bacilli; Caryophanales; Bacillaceae. The record is from RNAcentral.
UGGGCAGUAUCGUUCGAGCUGCACCGAUGGUUAGACAAUAUAAUGUAAUCAAGAUCUGCCUUGAUCCACAAAAGGACUAGGACGGAGGG